GAAGGAGAUGGCAGGCGUUUGGCCACAUAGCUACUUCCAGAUGUCCGCCAUAAAUGCUCUGUACUUGCUUAGUUUCCAGGAACAUAAAACCCGCUGUCAACGGACUUGCCCAGAGCCUGUAUUUGCUGCAUUUUUGUUCUUGUUUAGUUAUUACAUUAAGUCUCCUGUGAUUACAGAGCCGACAGCUGGUUUCAGGAGGAAUUAAGACUCAAGGGCUACUGUGAAGCGACCAGCAUUCUGGCCACCAGAGCCUGCGAGCCACAUCUACUGAAGCCCGCAUGUCUAGAGUCCGUGCUCUGCAACAAGAGAAGCCACCACAAUGAGAAGCCCGCGCACCGCAACAAAGAGUAGCCCCUGCUCUCCGCAACUAGAGAAAGCCCGCGCGCAGCAACAAGGACCCAACGCAGCCAAAAAUAAAUAAAUAAAUAAAUUUAUAUUAAAAAAGUAACCAUCACAACUCUAAUGAACAGUGUUGCAGUGGACAUCCUUGUACCUAAGAGUCUUUGGUUGUGAAAAUAGUUCUGGGGAAUAAAUUUUCUGUGGUGUAAUGCCUGGGUUGAAGGGUUUGCCCAUUUACCAGUUUAAUCACUGUCACCAAGUUGCCCUUCAAAGCUGCUGAGCAAUUUGCACUCCGUAGCUUCCCUGAUGUCGAAUAUUAUUAACCUUUAGAAUUUUUGACAAGUGAACAAGGGGAAGCUAGCACUUCACUGUUUUAACUUAUGGAUCGUUGAUUAUCAGUUUAGAAGCCAUUUGUAUACUUCUGAAAUUGCAGUUGUAUGCCCUUUCCUCAAUUUUGGGGGGUUAGGUUUCUGCAAUUUUUCAUAUGGAUUGAAGGACUUUUUUUUUUUAAUGCUUUUUUUUG
Molecule: long non-coding RNA, 862 nt
Organism: Balaenoptera acutorostrata (minke whale)
Lineage: Eukaryota; Metazoa; Chordata; Mammalia; Artiodactyla; Balaenopteridae
Exons: 3
Source: RefSeq, a predicted model, not a curated record